UAGCUCAGUUGGUAGAGCAUCGGUUUUGUAAACCGGUGGUCGUAGGUUCAAAUCCU
RNAcentral lists this transfer RNA (56 nucleotides) under Halobacteriovoraceae bacterium. RNAcentral describes it as "tRNA-Thr". It matches the Rfam family "tRNA", at positions 8 to 61 of the family's 71-position model. Rfam says of the family: Transfer RNA (tRNA) molecules are approximately 80 nucleotides in length. Their secondary structure includes four short double-helical elements and three loops (D, anti-codon, and T loops). Further hydrogen bonds mediate the characteristic L-shaped molecular structure. tRNAs have two regions of fundamental functional importance: the anti-codon, which is responsible for specific mRNA codon recognition, and the 3' end, to which the tRNAs corresponding amino acid is attached (by aminoacyl-tRNA synthetases). tRNAs cope with the degeneracy of the genetic code in two manners: having more than one tRNA (with a specific anti-codon) for a particular amino acid; and 'wobble' base-pairing, i.e. permitting non-standard base-pairing at the 3rd anti-codon position. Lineage: Bacteria; Pseudomonadati; Bdellovibrionota; Bacteriovoracia; Bacteriovoracales; Halobacteriovoraceae. The record is from RNAcentral.